AGAGUUUGAUCCUGGCUCAGAAUGAACGCUGGCGGCGUGGAUUAGGCAUGCAAGUCGAGCGCGAAAGCUUGGGAAACUGAGCGAGUAGAGCGGCGACCUGGUGAGUACAAGGUGGGUAACCUACCCCGAAGUGGGGGAUAACUGAUGGAAACAUCAGCUAAUACCGCAUGUGGACCCUGAGGAUUCGUUCUCGGUGUCCAAAGUAGCAAUACGCUUCGGGAUGGGCCCGCCCCCCAUUAGCUAGUUGGUGAGGUAAAAGCUCACCAAGGCUACGAUGGGUAGCUGGUUUGAGAGAAUGGUCAGCCACACUGGGACUGAUAAACGGCCCAGACUCCUACGGGGGGCAGCAGUCUAGAGGCUUCGGCAAUGGGGGAAACCCUGACCGAGCGACGCCGCGUGGAGGAUGACGCCCUUCGGGGUGCAAACUCCUUUCGACCGGAAAGAAAGCCCGGAUGGUGAAUCCGGGACUGACGGUACCGGUGGAAGAAGCCACGGCUAACUCUGUGCCAGCAGCCGCGGUAAGACAGAGGUGGCAAGCGUUAUUCGGAUUUAUUGGGCGUAAAGGGCGCGUAGGCGGCCAAGUGCGUCCGGUGUGAAAACGCUACCGCUCAACGGAGCGAAUGCGCUGGAUACGACUUGGCUUGAGUUCGAGAGAGGUAAGCGGAAUUCCUGGUGUAGCGGUGGAAUGCGUAGAUAUCAGGAAGAACACCUGUGGCGAAGGCGGCUUACUGGCUCGACACUGACGCUGAGGCGCGAAAGCGUGGGGAGCAAACGGGAUUAGAUACCCCGGUAGUCCACGCUGUAAACGGUGAAUACUAGGUGUGGGAGGUAUCGACCCCUUCCGUGCCGCAGUUAACACAAUAAGUAUUCCGCCUGGGGAUUACGGCCGCAAGGUUGAAACUCAAAGGAAUUGACGGAGGCCCGCACAAGCGGUCGAGUAUGUGGUUUAAUUCGACACAACGCGAAGAACCUUACCAGGGCUGGAACACGAGGAAAACCCUGCGAAAGCAGGGCUGGUCGCAAGACCGCCGAAGUGAGGUGCUGCAUGGCUGUCGUCAGCUCGUGUCGUGAGAUGUUGGGUUAAGUCCCGCAACGAGCGCAACCCUUGUCACUAGUUACCAGCGCGUCAUGGCGGGGACUCUAGUGAGACUGCCGGCGUAAGCCGGAGGAAGGUGGGGAUGACGUCAAGUCAUCAUGGCCCUUACGUCCUGGGCUACACACGUACUACAAUGGCUUGGACAACGCGCACCUACAUCGCGAGAUGAAGGAAAUCGCUUAAACCAGGCCUCAGUUCAGAUCGGAGUCUGCAACCCGACUCCGUGAAGUUGGAAUCGCUAGUAAUCGCGGGUCAGCCAUACCGCGGUGAAUACGUUCCCGGGCCUUGUACACACCG
This 1393-nucleotide ribosomal RNA is filed under the name metagenome. RNAcentral describes it as "bacterial SSU rRNA". It matches the Rfam family "Bacterial small subunit ribosomal RNA". The record is from RNAcentral.